Molecule: ribosomal RNA, 496 nt
Filed under: uncultured bacterium
Lineage: Bacteria
Description: partial 16S ribosomal RNA
Rfam family: Bacterial small subunit ribosomal RNA
Source: RNAcentral
AUGCACGCUGGCGGCGUGCCUAAUCCAUGCAAGUCGCGCGAACAGACGAGGAGCUUGCUCCUUCGACGUUAGCGGCGGACGGGUGAGUAACACGUAGGUAACCUACCUAUAAGACUGGGAUAACUUCGGGAAACCGGAGCUAAUACCGGAUAAUAUUUCGAACCGCAUGGUUCGAUAGUGAAAGAUGGCUUUGCUAUCACUUAUAGAUGGACCUGCGCCGUAUUAGCUAGUUGGUAAGGUAACGGCUUACCAAGGCAACGAUACGUAGCCGACCUGAGAGGGUGAUCGGCCACACUGGAACUGAGACACGGUCCAGACUCCUACGGGAGGCAGCAGUAGGGAAUCUUCCGCAAUGGGCGAAAGCCUGACGGAGCAACGCCGCGUGAGUGAUGAAGGUCUUCGGAUCGUAAAACUCUGUUAUUAGGGAAGAACAAACGUGUAAGUAACUGUGCACGUCUUGACGGUACCUAAUCAGAAAGCCACGGCUAACUACGUG